AUGAACGCUGGCGGCGUGCCUCAUCCCUGCCAGUCGAGCGAACAGAUGAGGAGCUUGCUCCUCUGACGUUAGCGGCGGACGGGUGAGUAACACGUGGAUAACCUACCUAUAAGACUGGGAUAACUUCGGGAAACCGGAGCUAAUACCGGAUAAUAUAUUGAACCGCAUGGUUCAAUAGUGAAAGACGGUUUUGCUGUCACUUAUAGAUGGAUCCGCGCCGCAUUAGCUAGUUGGUAAGGUAACGGCUUACCAAGGCAACGAUGCGUAGCCGACCUGAGAGGGUGAUCGGCCACACUGGAACUGAGACACGGUCCAGACUCCUACGGGAGGCAGCAGUAGGGAAUCUUCCGCAAUGGGCGAAAGCUUGACGGAGCAACGCCGCGUGAGUGAUGAAGGUCUUCGGAUCGUAAAACUCUGUUAUUAGGGAAGAACAAAUGUGUAAGUAACUGUGCACGUCUUGACGGUACCUAAUCAGAAAGCCACGGCUAACUACGUG
RNAcentral lists this ribosomal RNA (496 nucleotides) under uncultured bacterium. RNAcentral's name for it is "partial 16S ribosomal RNA". It matches the Rfam family "Bacterial small subunit ribosomal RNA", at positions 29 to 507 of the family's 1533-position model. The record is from RNAcentral.